AUUGAACGCUGGCGGCAUGCUUUACACAUGCAAGUCGAACGGCAGCACGGGGGCAACCCUGGUGGCGAGUGGCGAACGGGUGAGUAAUACAUCGGAACGUGCCCGGUCGUGGGGGAUAACGUAGCGAAAGUUACGCUAAUACCGCAUACGAUCUGAGGGUGAAAGCGGGGGACCUUCGGGCCUCGCGCGAUCGGAUCAGCCGAUGUCAGAUUAGCUAGUUGGUGGGGUAAAGGCCUACCAAGCCGACGAUCUGUAGCUGGUCUGAGAGGACGACCAGUCACACUGGGACUGAGACACGGCCCAGACUCCUACGGGAGGCAGCAGUGGGGAAUUUUGGACAAUGGGCGCAAGCCUGAUCCAGCCAUGCCGCGUGCAGGACGAAGGCCUUCGGGUUGUAAACUGCUUUUGUAUGGAACGAAAAGGCUCUGGCUAAUACCUGGGGCUCAUGACGGUACCGUAAGAAUAAGCACCGGCUAACUACGUG
RNAcentral lists this ribosomal RNA (484 nucleotides) under uncultured bacterium. RNAcentral's name for it is "partial 16S ribosomal RNA". It matches the Rfam family "Bacterial small subunit ribosomal RNA", at positions 30 to 507 of the family's 1533-position model. The record is from RNAcentral.